Sturnus vulgaris (Common starling) is the source of this 85-nucleotide non-coding RNA. The record is from RefSeq and is a predicted model, not a curated record. NCBI's taxonomy places the organism in Eukaryota, Metazoa, Chordata, Aves, Passeriformes, Sturnidae.
UUUCCACAGCCAGUGGGUGCUGGUAGCUGGUGUAUCAGUAGCAGUGUCUUCACUGGGUGUUAUCCAACCAAGGCAGUUCACUUAC